Molecule: ribosomal RNA, 253 nt
Filed under: uncultured bacterium
Lineage: Bacteria
Description: partial 16S ribosomal RNA
Rfam family: Bacterial small subunit ribosomal RNA
Source: RNAcentral
UACGGAGGGGGCUAGCGUUGUUCGGAAUUACUGGGCGUAAAGCGCGCGUAGGCGGCUUUGCAAGUUGGUGGUGAAAUCCCGGGGCUUAACCUCGGAAUUGCCUUCAAAACUGCAUGGCUCGAGUUCGGGAGAGGUGAGUGGAAUUCCCAGUGUAGAGGUGAAAUUCGUAGAGAUUGGGAAGAACACCGGUGGCGAAGGCGGCUCACUGGCCCGUAACUGACGCUGAGGCGCGAAAGCGUGGGGAGCAAACAGG